GGAUCCGUUUUGGCAUUAUCUCCCACCACCUGUGUGUGUGGAUGAAGUGAGAGGAGGAGUCCUGUGCGUGUCGGCGUCAACGUCGACCGAGCGUCCGUGCCAAGCGCUGCGUCGCCAGGGGCAGCCUGUCGGAAGACUGGGUUGUCCUGGGCGUAUAAAGAGCGGUGUACGGUUCAGACCCGUGAGGGAGCAGGCAAAAGCUGCCGCGCGGUGCAGUGGCCGGAUCGCGCUUGUGAGUUGACACGUACGCACAGCCUCUUCGAUACCUUCAGACCGCU
Molecule: signal recognition particle RNA, 278 nt
Filed under: Caenorhabditis japonica
Lineage: Eukaryota; Metazoa; Nematoda; Chromadorea; Rhabditida; Rhabditidae
Description: sRNA CJA48422
Rfam family: Metazoan signal recognition particle RNA (bases 36-277)
About the family: The signal recognition particle (SRP) is a universally conserved ribonucleoprotein.
Source: RNAcentral